AGUCACUGACAUUAGAUACCCGCGUAGUCCAGGGUGUAAACGCUGCAGACUUGGUGUUGGAAGCCCUUUGGGGGCAUUCAGUGCCGGAGAGAAGUUGUUAAGUCUGCUACUUGGGGAGUACGUCCGCAAGGAUGAAACUUAAAGGAAUUGGCGGGGGAGCACCGCAACGGGAGGAGCGUGCGGUUUAAUUGGAUUCAACACCGUAAACUCACCAGGGAAGACUGUUACAUGAAGGCCGAGAUGAAGACUCUGCUAGAUUUUUCAG
RNAcentral lists this ribosomal RNA (265 nucleotides) under uncultured archaeon. RNAcentral describes it as "partial 16S ribosomal RNA". It matches the Rfam family "Archaeal small subunit ribosomal RNA", at positions 716 to 982 of the family's 1478-position model. The record is from RNAcentral.